UGAGUAACGCGUGAGCAACCUGCCUUAAACAACGGGAUAGCCUCGGGAAACCGGGAUUAAUACCGUAUGAGACCCCGCCUUCCCAUGAAGAAGAGGUUAAAGAUUUAUCGGUUUAAGAUGGGCUCGCGUCUGAUUAGCUAGUUGGUGAGAUAAAAGCCCACCAAGGCAACGAUCAGUAACCGGCUUGAGAGAGUGAACGGUCACAUUGGAACUGAGACACGGUCCAAACUCCUACGGGAGGCAGCAGUGGGGAAUAUUGCACAAUGGGGGAAACCCUGAUGCAGCGACGCCGCGUGAGCGAUGAAGGAAUUCGUUUCGUAAAGCUCUGUCCUAGGGGAAGAUAAUGACAGUACCCUUGGAGGAAGCCCCGGCUAAAUACGUGCCAGCAGCCGCGGUAAUACGUAUGGGGCGAGCGUUGUCCGGAAUUAUUGGGCGUAAAGGGUACGUAGGCGGUUUCAUAAGUCAGAUGUAAA
RNAcentral lists this ribosomal RNA (473 nucleotides) under uncultured bacterium. RNAcentral describes it as "bacterial SSU rRNA". It matches the Rfam family "Bacterial small subunit ribosomal RNA", at positions 107 to 598 of the family's 1533-position model. The record is from RNAcentral.